UCACUUACCUGGACGGGGUCAAUGGGCGAUCAAGAAGGUCCAUGGCCUAGGUUGGUGACCUCCAUUGCACUUUGGAGGGGUGCCCGCCUAAGGUCGGCCCAAGUGGUCGAGCCUACGUCAUAAUUUGUGGCAGUGGGGGCUUGCGUUCGCGCAGCCCCUGC
RNAcentral lists this small nuclear RNA (161 nucleotides) under Helianthus annuus (common sunflower). RNAcentral describes it as "U1 spliceosomal RNA". It matches the Rfam family "U1 spliceosomal RNA". Rfam says of the family: U1 is a small nuclear RNA (snRNA) component of the spliceosome (involved in pre-mRNA splicing). Lineage: Eukaryota; Viridiplantae; Streptophyta; Magnoliopsida; Asterales; Asteraceae. RNAcentral also lists the same sequence under 1 other name. The record is from RNAcentral.